Oncorhynchus tshawytscha (Chinook salmon) is the source of this 1135-nucleotide long non-coding RNA. The record is from Ensembl. NCBI's taxonomy places the organism in Eukaryota, Metazoa, Chordata, Actinopteri, Salmoniformes, Salmonidae.
GUGUGUGUGUGUGUGUGUGUGUGUGUAUGGGUGAGAGAGUGCAGCACGCAUGUGUAUUUUUAGUAUAGUGUGUGUGUGUGUGUGUGGGGGUGUGUGUAUGGGUGAGAGAGUGCAGCACGCAUGUGUAUUUUUAGUAGUGUGUGUGUGUGUGGGGGGGGUGUAUGGGUGAGAGAGUGCAGCACGCAUGUGUAUUUUUAGUAGUGUGUGUGUGUGUGGGAGAGUGCAGCACGCAUGUGUAUUUUUAGCAGUUUCUGUUGUGUGUAUGUAUUAUGCCCUGCCUCCUGGUGAUGCUGUGUCUGUGUAACCAUCAGCGAAGCCCCUACCAUUUCACCUUAAGCUGGUCCUCAUUUCUAGCUCAAUAUUGGAUACCAGGAUUGAAGCCUGCUUUCUUGUUAACUAAUUUGCCAUAGUUCCAUCUACUUGACCUGCUGAGUAGACUCUGAUGCAUCUAUAGCAGGUGCAUUGGGAGUGAGUACAUUGUGACCAAUGUGUCCACGCUGUCAGAAGCCCGUACAGUAAAUUCUCUCUCACGGGCCGCUACGGUGGGUCAUCAGCCCGUUGUGUGGAAUCCACAAAACCCUCAUUUGAUUUUUUUUUUUUUUUUUUUUUUUUGGGAUCAUACAUGGAGCUCACUCACUCUUUUGCCUGAGUAUUAUGAUGGCACAUCAAAAAGACCACACUACAGAAUUCCACAUACAACACUUGGGUUUCCAGAAUCAUCAAAUGUUAAUUAUCAUGAAUGUCCAGCAUUGAGAUGUGUGUUGUGAUAGCAUAUCGGGGGUACUGUGGGGUUCUGUUUGGAAGCAAGAGGGAAGGGAAGUGGGGUAGGUAUUGGAGGGUGGAUGAGUUGUAUUUUUGUAAAACUGAAACCACAGUUCUUGUUUAUUAAGAAUGGACAGCACUUUGCAGAUGACUGGGUAGCCAUGCUCGCUACUGAGUGUGUCAGAAACAGAAAGUGGUGUCAAAUUUUUAUUUAUCAUUGAAUUUGUUUUUUAAGACACCUGUAGGGAACCAAAACUCCAAACUAUACAGUGCCACUUGUUAAUGUUGUGUAAAUAUACUAGACCAUGUAAAUACAAUGUUGUGUGUGUAUAUAAAAAAAAUCUUUAAAAUAAAAGGGAAAAUGAUUUGUGAG